AAUAUCUUCUCACUGAAGUGCAGGAAUUCGAGAGAGAAAGAGAGACAGACAGAUGGAGAGGCAAACAGAGAGACUGCAGUCUCAGAAGGAAACUUUGAGAGAGCUCUGCUUGAAACAGGAGCUUUGGCAGGCAAAGAACAUUGAGGAACAGCCAGACUUCUGUUUCCACAGGAGCCGUGGUGGGACCCUGGUGAGGGAACAGAACCAAGGAAUGUUUCCUAUCAGAGAGAUUCCUGCUUUCCUGGCAAGAGGCACUGCAGACUGUUUCUAAAAAGAAUUGCCACAACUAACAGCAAGCAUUUCUCCAAGCACUAGCUGCCAAUGCAGCCAGUUGUAAACAGAAUAGAAUACUACUG
Non-coding RNA from Pelodiscus sinensis (Chinese soft-shelled turtle), 356 nucleotides. The record is from RefSeq and is a predicted model, not a curated record. NCBI's taxonomy places the organism in Eukaryota, Metazoa, Chordata, Testudines, Trionychidae.